AGUGAACGCUGGCGGCGUGCUUAACACAUGCAAGUCGAACGAGAACGGGUUAUAGCUUGCUAUAAUUGUCAGCUAAGUGGCGCACGGGUGAGUAAUGUAUAGGUAAUAUGCCUCUUACUAAGGGAUAACAACUGGAAACGUUUGCUAAUACCUUAUACUCCUUAUUAACAUAAUUUAAUAAGGGAAAGAUUUAUUGGUAAGAGAUUAGCCUGUAUUGUAUCAGUUAGUUGGUGGGGUAAUGUCUUACCAAGACUAUGACACAUAACUGGUUUGAGAGGAUGAUCAGUCACACUGGAACUGAGACACGGUCCAGACUCCUACGGGAGGCAGCAGUGGGGAAUAUUGCACAAUGGACGAAAGUCUGAUGCAGCAACGCCGCGUGGAGGAUGACACAUUUCGGUGCGUAAACUCCUUUUAUAUGAGAAGAUAAUGACGGUAUUACAUGAAUAAGCACCGGCUAACUCCGUGCCAGCAGCCGCAGUAA
RNAcentral lists this ribosomal RNA (484 nucleotides) under uncultured bacterium. RNAcentral describes it as "partial 16S ribosomal RNA". It matches the Rfam family "Bacterial small subunit ribosomal RNA", at positions 29 to 523 of the family's 1533-position model. The record is from RNAcentral.